GCGUACCCAUCCCGAACACGACCGUUAAGCCCUCCAGCGCCGAUGGUACUUGGACCGCAGGGUCCUGGGAGAGUAGGACGUUGCCAAGC
RNAcentral lists this ribosomal RNA (89 nucleotides) under Paenibacillus apiarius. The record is from RNAcentral. RNAcentral also lists the same sequence under 1 other name. Lineage: Bacteria; Bacillati; Bacillota; Bacilli; Caryophanales; Paenibacillaceae.